UAGGGAGCGAGCGUUGUCCGGAAUUACUGGGUGUAAAGGGAGCGUAGGCGGUACGGAAAGUCAGCGGUAAAAUUACGGAGCUCAACUCCGCCGAGCCGUUGAAACUUCCGCACUAGAGUGAGCGAGAAGUAAGCGGAAUGCGUGGUGUAGCGGUGAAAUGCAUAGAUAUCACGCAGAACGCCGAUUGCGAAGGCAGCUUACCGGCGCUCAACUGACGCUCAGGCACGAAAGUGCGGGUAUCGAA
This 244-nucleotide ribosomal RNA is filed under the name uncultured bacterium. RNAcentral's name for it is "partial 16S ribosomal RNA". It matches the Rfam family "Bacterial small subunit ribosomal RNA", at positions 528 to 772 of the family's 1533-position model. The record is from RNAcentral.